UGCCAAUUUUAAGGUGUUGAUUUAGUUUCCGUACACAUACAUCUAUUUAUGGCUAUAUUUGUCUAAAUGCGUACGACCCCUGCAGGCCUGCACCCCCAUCCUGCCCCCUACCUCCCUAGCCCCACCCUGUACAAUCCUUCUCCCAUCUCUUAUACCCCCUCCCUGCACUGCAUCCCUCUUUUACAGCCCGUUUCCCAGCCCCUAAACCUACCCCUACCUCUCUGCCCCUACCCAUCCCCUACAUCCCUGCCUGCACUUUCCCCCACUUCCCUACACCCCCUGCCUGCACCUACUGCACUCAUCCCUUGCACCCCCUCCCUACACAUGUACCCCUCUAUGCAUGCCCCCUCCCUGUACUACAUCCUCCUAGCAUGCUAAAAAACAUCACCCUAUAUAUUGACUGCACACUGCCCUCCCUAACCAAAGCUACACAAAUAAAAAAUUUAAAGGAGAAAAGUACAUGGCCAUAACUUCUUGUGUUUUCUUGUUCGUCUUUAGAAACUCGCCACUGACAUUGGUGGAAUGAAGUUGCUUUUUUUGUUCCCUGCUCUCAGAUUUCUUAUGUUUUCCUGAUACAAAAUAACAAAUCAAUGACAAGAACUAUUGACAUAAAUGGAAAGACUACUUAAAUCAUCCUUAGUUCAAAACAUACCUUUUUUUUGUAACUCUAAUUUCAGGUAAAUUUUCAAGUUCUUUCUCAAGUUCUUACAUCUCAUGCUCGUCGUUACAGGGAACAUCAUUAUAGCACACGUGUUGCAUUGAUUUUGUUUUUUUUAUUAUUUUUUUUUGUUAAUUUUUUUUUUGUUAUUUUAUUAUUUUUUUUUUUUUAUUUUUAUUUUUUUUAUCAAAGGCAUUCAAUUAUUGUUAUCUAUGAAUCUUUUCUAUUUUAUGUCUUUGGGUAUAGGUGUGUAUCUAACAGAAUAGAUACUUUCAGUAACGGUGACAACCGUACGGCUUGUAAUGUGUGUUAAAUGUAUCUGGCUAGUGUUACAUUUUAUUCUACCAUUCUUGAUGUCUAGAUGAUGCUGUUGUUGCUGCCCCAUGUGCCUUUCCUUAGUUCAUUUUAAUUUUUCAGUUUUGAUUAUAAUUGGAGGUGCAACUCAAGUUCCAAAAGUUGCAUGAUUCUAAUGAGAGGCGAAGCUAAGUAAAUUGAAUAUGGCUUAGGAAGAUUUUAGCUUUGUGAUUUGAAUUUCUGGUGAGCCAGAUGAACCUGACAUAGGGUUCUCCUUUCAGAUCAGUGAUGACAACCCCUAUGUCAUACCCGAGACGGAACCCACACAACAGAAGCAGAUCCAGGAAUGCAAUUGGCAGGUUGUCAAUGUAAUUAACCACCCCUGCUAACUACAUUCAUGUUUUGCAUCGUCAAGGUCAUCAUGGUUUUGAUAAACAAGGUACCUGAUUCAAGCGGCUCGCUAAGGAUCAGAAAAUGCACUCAGAUUGUUAGGAGAGCAUUAUGCGUUUGAUUUUAUGCUCUGGGAAAGAAGAAACAAAAUAGCAGCGAUAUUGCCAUCUAUGGAGUGGAGCAGCUUUGCCCUUUCCCAUAUGACCUUGUCCAUUGAGAGUUGAAUCGAUAUCCAAAUGCUGAGGUAGUCUGGUGUCAGGAAGAGCCAAUGAACAUGGGCGCUUACAGCUAUAUUGCACAGUCUAUGUCCAACAAUGAAAUCUUUCGACAGAGGAAGUGCUGACGACAUUGAGUAUGUUGGGCGCCUUCCAUCUGCUGCAAUUGCUACUGGUUUUAUUUCAGUUCAUAGCAAAGGACAGAUCAAGCUUCGGCAGAAGGCAUUGCAGUCAGAGCCAAUCCCAUUCCCUUGAGCCAGUAGGCUGGUGGUGCAUGCUUAACACAGAUGGAGCAGCAAAGGGCCCUCUUGGGCUAGCUGGGUGAGGGGAUAUUAUCAUAGAUGAGACAAGUUAAUUUUGGGUGUUCUGCCAACUUUGGGUGUUGCUCAGCCUUUCGAGCUGAAAUUCUGGCGCUUAAGAAGGGUCUGAUCUUAGCCAGGUGAAUGAUGCGGAUGAAUGAGUUGAAAUUCUUGCGCUUAAGAAGUUCUAUCAAAUUAAACGAGCAAGAUGAUGCGGGUGAAUGUGCCCACUUAAUCAAUUUCUGUAAAGAUUUGAUACAAAAGGAAGAAUGGGAAGUCCAGAUACUCCAUGUCUAUCGUGAAGGCAAUCGUGCAGCGGACUAGCCUGCUAACAUUGGUGUAGCUCAAUCAAAUAAUUUUAGUUCAUUGUUAGAUGUUCCUUUAGAACUAGCUAGGAUCCUAAAGGAGGAUAUCCAAGGAUGGCUAUUCCACGAUUGGUUCCCACUUAGUGUCCUGCUGGUGUCGUAGCUUUCUAAAUUUUUUUAGUUGGUUUGUUGCUUUCUUGUUUUUGGUACCUGUACCUCGUUUGCCAAAAAAAAAAAAAAGAGAGAGAUAUUUUCUCAGAGAGAAAUGCAAGUAUGUCAUGUAAGAAAUAAAACAUGGACCUUUUAUCCGGCUUUCUUGGAGCAAUUAUUCUCCGGAGAAAGCUGGUGGUGCUCAAAACCUUUUUGAUUUUAAAAUCCUUUUUAUUUGCUAUUUUAAGAAAUAUAUACGAAGUACUGCAGUAAAAUUUUAUAAUAGGAACUGUUAUUAGCCAUUUGGCUCAUGUACAAUCUUUUAGGAAAACAUGUUG
Chenopodium quinoa (quinoa) is the source of this 2649-nucleotide long non-coding RNA. RefSeq lists it as uncharacterized. The record is from RefSeq and is a predicted model, not a curated record. The transcript is spliced from 4 exons. Lineage: Eukaryota; Viridiplantae; Streptophyta; Magnoliopsida; Caryophyllales; Amaranthaceae.